GGCGGGACACGUGGUAUCCUGUCUGAAUAUGGGGGGACCAUCCUCCAAGGCUAAAUACUCCUGACUGACCGAUAGUGAACCAGUACCGUGAGGGAAAGGCGAAAAGAACCCCGGCGAGGGGAGUGAAAAAGAACCUGAAACCGUGUACGUACAAGCAGUGGGAGCACCCUUUGGGGUGUGACUGCGUACCUUUUGUAUAAUGGGUCAGCGACUUAUAUUCUGUAGCAAGGUUAACCGAAUAGGGGAGCCGGAGGGAAACCGAGUCUUAAUUGGGCGUUAAGUUGCAGGGUAUAGACCCGAAACCCGGUGAUCUAGCCAUGGGCAGGUUGAAGGUUGGGUAACACUAACUGGAGGACCGAACCGACUAAUGUUGAAAAAUUAGCGGAUGACCUGUGGCUGGGGGUGAAAGGCCAAUCAAACCGGGAGAUAGCUGGUUCUCCCCGAAAGCUAUUUAGGUAGCGCCUCGUGAAUUCAUCUCCGGGGGUAGAGCACUGUUUCGGCUAGGGGGCCAUCCCGGCUUACCAACCCGAUGCAAACUGCGAAUACCGGAGAAUGUUAUCACGGGAGACACACGGCGGGUGCUAACGUCCGUCGUGAAGAGGGAAACAACCCAGACCGCCAGCUAAGGUCCCAAAGUCAUGGUUAAGUGGGAAACGAUGUGGGAAGGCCCAGACAGCCAGGAUGUUGGCUUAGAAGCAGCCAUCAUUUAAAGAAAGCGUAAUAGCUCACUGGUCGAGUCGGCCUGCGCGGAAGAUGUAACGGGGCUAAACCAUGCACCGAAGCUGCGGCAGCGACGCUGAUGCGUUGUUGGGUAGGGGAGCGUUCUGUAAGCCUGUGAAGGUGGCCUGUGAGGGUUGCU
RNAcentral lists this ribosomal RNA (859 nucleotides) under Salmonella enterica. RNAcentral's name for it is "partial 23S ribosomal RNA". It matches the Rfam family "Bacterial large subunit ribosomal RNA", at positions 416 to 1274 of the family's 2925-position model. Lineage: Bacteria; Pseudomonadati; Pseudomonadota; Gammaproteobacteria; Enterobacterales; Enterobacteriaceae. The record is from RNAcentral.